AGGAAGAGAGGAUCAAGGAGGUGUUCUUCCCCAUCUCUUCUUGCAUAUUUUCUUGGGGAAACCCUAGGUAUGAUGAGAUCCUUGUUCCUCCCUGUAAUUAUGUGCUUUUGGAGGUGGUGGAUCAUGGGGAUUAAAGGAUUAGAGGUUGUAUUAGAUGUGGGGUUAGGUUUUGAUCUCGAAUUUAGUUUUCUGCAGCAUGACAGAUUCGACAGUUUCUGUUCAUACCAGUUUUCCGUGAUCUUAGUGGCCUCAAAAAAAUAAAAAAGUCUAUAUAUGAGUCGUAGAUAAUUUGUAGAUCUUUCCGUGGCCACGAAGAACACCUCAAUCGGACAUCAGAACAGAAAGUUAUGACAGUUUGAUUAUAGCAGUUUUUCAGUCUCAUAAUUCUGUGCAGAAUCUGUUCUCUUAAGAGUUAGGCAAUUUUAUCAACAGAAUUAAACUGUGGGUUGGUAAAAGAAGUUGUAUAUAAUUUCAUAAGCUUUCCAGAUUGUUAAAGAGUGCAUUCAUAUGAUUUGUGAAACUCCAGUUAUGUUUGUUUUACUGUGGCUGUUCCUGUUUGCCUGACAAAAAUGAGUGGGUCUGUUCACUGGUGGGUUUCAUCUAGUAAAUGGCCGAAUUGGCUCUUCCAACUAUGGAGACUUUUGUAGAGGGAUAAAAGUUCUUACUUCCAGCAGAAUUUCAUAAUUUUUGGUUCAGUAGUUUGGGAGAUAUCGAAUUUUAAAGUGAACCAUACUGCUGUCUAAAACAGAUUCAGUCAGUUAUCUUGUGAGAUGUUUUAGAACUUGUAGAUGGCAGAAUUUAAUCAUCCAUUGAAUACUGAAGUUGUAGAGUAUUUUGUGUAGAUACUCCUAGAAUAUUUGUUUGAUAUCACCGCUGUUUUAAUUUUAAAGAUGCAAAAUUAACAAACAGCGCUGCUGCUGUAUGGCAUGUGGUUCAGGGUGGGAGUCUUUCCACUGGGUCUUGGUUUCAAGUGUAGGAGUGUUUUGUUGAUUGAUGGAAAAUGUUUGUGAAAUAUUUGUACUAAGUUUUAUGCCCGCUAGCAGGUGGCUACACUCUAGAUUAUGUCUAGUACAUUUCUUCUUCUUCGAUGAAGGCAAGUGAAUGUAGCGGUGGUUGCUUCCGUUCUGACCUGUUAUUUCUAUUUCCUACACUCUAAUAUUCAGAAGUAUUAGAUUCUUUCAUAAUUGGACUCUAUGGUGAUGCUUUACUUGCUUGCAUUAUACUGAUGCUCAAUCAUAUAUUGAUGAUGAUUAUGAUUCGAGUAUGAUUCAUGAGAUUAAUUCACACCCCUGAAGGUAAAUGAAGUAUUAUUUGAGGUUGAUAUUGUAUCUGAAGGUAAAUGAAGUAUUAUUUGAGGUUGGUAUUGUAUCUGAAGGUAAAUGAAGUAUUAUUUGAGGUUGGUAUUGUAUCUGAAGGUAAAUAAAGUAUUAUUUGAGGUUUGUAUUGUAUCUGAAGGAAGUGAAGGUUAUUGAUAAAUGCAGCAUGCCAUAUACAUUGCAUGACUCAUUUGCAUCUGAAGUUUUGUCGUGACCUAUGGUCCGACCGUACCGGUACAAUUUAGCAUCGUACGUUGCUCGAGGAGGGGUACGAUGCGGCUUCAUACCCUUAGAGGUAUGAAGGCAGAGGACAUAUGCAUUGCAUUCAUAUGCAUUCAUUGAAGUGAUAUUUGCAGAUGACGUGGUUUUAUACUCUCAGAGGUAUGAAGAUAGAGUACCUACACAUUGCAUUCCUAUGCAUACAUUGAAGUGAUAUUUGCAGGUAUUGUUGACGCGGGGAAGUGUUAUAGAACCUAUUGUGGUUGUUCGAGGAAAUGAGAUGAUAUUGGUUAUAUUGGGACUACUAAGUUCUAUAUCUACAAGUAUUUCUGAUCUUGAUUGUGAUUCUUUUAAAAUGUUGAUUAAUUCAAUUUGUGGUUUAAAUAUCUCGUCAGAACAAUUAGCUUGCUGAGAUGUUUCAUCUCACUCUUGCAUUACUCAAUGCAGGUGCUUUUUGCUCAUCAAGGGGAGUGGGAAGUAGCAGCACAUCCACCUUCACUCUCAUAAUAAUGCUGCCCAGACACAGUCAUGAUUUAAUUAGAAACUUCUGGUCAAAGGAUGUUUGUUUUAACUAGUCGUGCGCACUGAUUAAUUCAGUUCAUGUUGUUAUGGUUGUCUUCCCAUUGCUAGCAGAUUAUUAAUGUCUUUUAUGUUUUCUUAUCAUGAUAUCUAUUUAUACUUUGUUGCAUCCCCGUUUAUGCAAUUUUCAAAGGAG
RNAcentral lists this long non-coding RNA (2250 nucleotides) under Zea mays. RNAcentral's name for it is "long non-coding RNA (ZMAY_LNC000845)". The record is from RNAcentral. Lineage: Eukaryota; Viridiplantae; Streptophyta; Magnoliopsida; Poales; Poaceae.